This 366-nucleotide ribosomal RNA is filed under the name uncultured bacterium. RNAcentral's name for it is "bacterial SSU rRNA". It matches the Rfam family "Bacterial small subunit ribosomal RNA", at positions 43 to 422 of the family's 1533-position model. The record is from RNAcentral.
UCAGGCCUAACACAUGCAAGUCGAGCGGGGUUUUCGGACCUAGCGGCGGACGGGUGAGUAAUGCGUAGGAAGCUACCCGAUAGAGGGGGAUACCAGUUGGAAACGACUGUUAAUACCGCAUAAUGUCUACGGACCAAAGUGUGGGACCUUCGGGCCACAUGCUAUCGGAUGCGCCUACGUGGGAUUAGCUAGUUGGUGAGGUAAUGGCUCACCAAGGCGACGAUCCCUAGCUGGUUUGAGAGGAUGAUCAGCCACACUGGAACUGAGACACGGUCCAGACUCCUACGGGAGGCAGCAGUGGGGAAUAUUGGACAAUGGGCGAAAGCCUGAUCCAAAAGGGCCGCGUGUGUGAAGAAGGCCUUCGGG